CCCCCACCUCAUCCCCUCUUUCCGGAUCCCCCGACCACCUCCCGUCGCUGCCCACUGACUCCGGCGCGGCUCCCGCCUCCGGCCCCUCGGCCCCAGCGCGCCACCCCUGCCGCCGCCCCCGACCCCGACGGGGACCUCCUGCCGCCGACCACCCGACCUCAACGCCCCCCGCUGUUGGCCACCGGAGCCGCCGCCCCCAGUCACGAGAUCUGCCGCCGGCGGCCUAGACCCUGCGCCACCUCUUCCCGUCGGCGCUCGUCUGCGAGCUCCCGCCUCCAUUGAGGGCACAUGGAUUUCUCAUGGUCGUUCGAAUAAAAAAUGACAGCCACAUCGCGGUGGCCGGCGGCUAGAAUGCAUGGUCAAAACUAAAGUCCGAGUGUUGCUAGCUAAGUGCAUUCAGAGUAAGACAUUUACACUUCUCUUCAGGAAGGCAUUUGUAAGUCUGGCCGUGGUUUUCCUUUUUCUUCAGGAAGACAUUUGCUUUGAAAAGGAACUGCGUCUCGUUAGUACACUUAUAUUCUUCUUCAGUAAAAAAAGAUGAAGUGCACUUAAUAAGGAAGGCCUGGGAUGCAUCCAUGUGGAAUUGUAUGAAAGAAGGAAGGAACGGUCUGGGUAGAUGAGCAGUUCAAGUUGAACUCUCCCCUACACACACUUUGAUUUUUAUUUACAAGUAUUCAAUUUUUAAAUGUUCUACAGUCUGUGAACAAAAUAGGAUCUUGUUUCAUCCACUGAUCCUGUUUACAGUCCUUGAUCAACAAUCACGGUUUAAUUUUUACAAUUUCUGCAUUACACGAAAAAUGAAGGUACCAUCCUAGCCAUGGUGAAAUCUUCCCCAUCCCUGAUGAACAGCGGCAAGCUCGAUUUACUACUCUCGUAGGUUUGCAAUCGUCCAAUGGAAAAGUUUUCAUUCCAAGUUUCCAUUCACAUGACAUUAUUUUUAUUGACAUUGUGGUAGGGAAAAAUAGUAUGUUUUCAUCAAAAAUCCCGAUAACUUAGGCGCUACUGUGGACAUGAGUAUCCUAUACGUAGACAUGAUAUUUAAUAUUUACUUUGAUAAAAAUUCCAAUUUUAAGAGAAAAGAAAGAUACCCUGCUUAUUUACUUAACUAUUACAUUGAGAUACUGAACCACUUGAUCCACAAACAGAAUGAAAAUUGCAUGGUAUCCUCAACGCUCAUGCCUGACCCUAACUGCUGUUCCCAAAGACCGCCUUGCAGUCGCCCCUGCCCAUGCGGCACUACCGUAACCUGCACCCUGCAAAAAAAUUGCAAGUUCAGAAUCAAAUAAACAAGAAGUUCAAAAAGAACAGAGGUACCGCCUUCACUCAUGUGCUUGCAAAAUAGCUUGGUUGUAGCUCGCAUGUUGUUUGCCAAUGAUCAAUAAACAUGUUUUGCCAGCGAUCUUUAGUUUCUUCAGUAGCUCAUAAACAAUUGCCAAAUGCUCAUAACUUCAUAAUCAUAAGUUGAUAGUUGGCCUACAGGGACAACCAUGCUGAUGGCGAUCGAAGAAGGAUGCAGAAAUAUUACUAUUGAGACUGAAGGCCAAGUUUUAUGCACGAUGUGGCAGGAUCCCAGGGAUUGUUCUGAGGCGGUCGAUGGCUUUCCAGAGAUGUGUUCGUACUCACAAGUUUGCAGGGGUUCAAAGAUCAGUUAUACAAGCAGGAAUGCCAAUUUGGUUACAUAUCUGUGUGCGAAAGAGGCACUGAAACUAGAUGUACUUGCUAUUUCUUUAUUUGUAACCCCUACCUACCUGAUUGAGAUGUGUUACAGCAGUUUGGAGUGUAUUUAUUUGGAAAGAAAAAGAACAACGGCACCUGCACCGGAGCAGCAGGACGACGCGCCCUCCCAGCGACGGCGCAGCAGCGCAUUCGCCGUCUAUGCACAUGUGUGUGUGCAGUGCACUUGAGGGAGCACUCCCCUGUUGCUAUUCUGCACCUACGCCUCCCCAUGUGGAUCCCGUUCUCUUCUCUCCUUUUUGUUGUGAGUUUAUAAAUUGAAGAUCAGUCAUAACAGCGGAAGAAAAAGUUUUAGAGAGUUUUUCGUAAAAAAUCAGAGAUGUUGUUCAGAUAGUGAUGGACUUUUCAUACAUGUUUAUGCUAGUUCAUGCUCGUUUGUA
Aegilops tauschii subsp. strangulata is the source of this 2114-nucleotide long non-coding RNA. RefSeq lists it as uncharacterized. NCBI's taxonomy places the organism in Eukaryota, Viridiplantae, Streptophyta, Magnoliopsida, Poales, Poaceae. The record is from RefSeq and is a predicted model, not a curated record.